Molecule: ribosomal RNA, 978 nt
Filed under: human gut metagenome
Description: bacterial SSU rRNA
Rfam family: Bacterial small subunit ribosomal RNA
Source: RNAcentral
AAAGCGGUUUUUUCCCCCGCACGGGUUAGGAGGCCCAGGUUUUCAAAUUUGGGCUAAGGGUGGUGGGGUUCUCGCCUCCGUGAAAAUCCAUCGUUACCGAGAUCCGCCAGUUUCGACGGUCUGAUCGUUAGGGAGAUGGAUUCCCGUGUACGGUGAUGGUAGAUUCGGGAUGACACAUGNNNCGAGUCAGUCUUGGGCGAUAUGACGCUGAGAGCGAAGCGUGGGAGCGACAGGAUUAGAUACCUCGUAGUCCACGCAGUGAACGUGGAUGCUGAUGUGGGGCCGUUCCACGGUUCCGUGUCGGAGCUAACGCGUUAAGCAUCCUGCCUGGGGAGUACGGCCGCAAGGCUAAAACUCAAAGAAAUGACGGGGGUCCCGCACAAGCGGCGGAGCAUGCGGAUUAAUUCGAUGCAACGUGAAGAACCUUACCUGGGCUUGACAUGUUCCCGACGGUCGUAGAGAUACGGCUUCCCUUCGGGGCGGGUUCACAGGUGGUGCAUGGUCGUCGUCAGCUCGUGUCGUGAGAUGUUGGGUUAAGUCCUGCAACGAGCGCAACCCUCGCCCCGUGUUGCCAGCGGAUUAUGCCGGGAACUCACGGGGGACCGCCGGGGUUAACUCGGAGGAAGGUGGGGAUGACGUCAGAUCAUCAUGCCCCUUACGUCCAGGGCUUCACGCAUGCUACAAUGGCCGGUACAACGGGAUGCGACGCGGCGACGCGGAGCGGAUCCCUGAAAACCGGUCUCAGUUCGGAUCGCAGUCUGCAACUCGACUGCGUGAAGGCGGAGUCGCUAGUAAUCGCGAAUCAGCAACGUCGCGGUGAAUGCGUUCCCGGGCCUUGUACACACCGCCCGUCAAGUCAUGAAAGUGGGCAGCACCCGAAGCCGGUGGCCUAACCCCUUGUGGGAUGGAGCCGUCUAAGGUGAGGCUCGUGAUUGGGACUAAGUCGUAACAAGGUAGCCGUACCGGAAGGUGCGGCUG